RNAcentral lists this long non-coding RNA (235 nucleotides) under Elaeis guineensis (African oil palm). RNAcentral describes it as "long non-coding RNA (EGUI_LNC021402)". Lineage: Eukaryota; Viridiplantae; Streptophyta; Magnoliopsida; Arecales; Arecaceae. The record is from RNAcentral.
UAGUGUCAUGUUAGAUGAGUGUCAUUAUUAGCCUUCUUUUUUGAUGAAUGUCAUCUCUGUAGAUCUUUUGGUCAAACUUGAUUUUAAGUUUUUAACAAAGAAUGAUUUUUGUGAUAUCAUUAUGAAUGAUACUAUAAUUAUGCGUGAAUAAUUAAAAUAUGGCAUAUACAUGUUAUCACAGCCUAUUGGUGUAAUGUAUGUAUCAAACAAAUAUCCUAGGAUAGAUAAUGUCAAC